GUAGAGGUGCAGGGAGCCUUCGGGUUCUCAACUUAUUUCCAAACUUCGAACCUCCUUGUUAGGCAUUUACCUAACUGGAAAUGCUUAAAUGAAUUAGCGUUACAAGUGGGCUCUGACCGGUAAGCGGUCAUGGCGAAAUGGGAUGAACCAUACGUCUGAAUAAGGUGCCGAAAUGUACUAUCACUGAUACCAUAAAGGGAGUCCAUGUAUUUAGACAGCAGGUCGGUGCCCCUAAAAGCAGGUAUCCGCUAAAGAGUGUGUUAAAACUCACCUGCCGAAUACUAGGGCCCCGAAAAUGAAUGGCGCAUAUAGUACUACCGAUCUCAGACAUCAGUUCUAUUGAACUGAGAGUAGGGGGAUGUGGACAUUUUUGUGAAGGUGCAAUGUGAGUUGGACUGGAAGAAUGUCUAUUACAGAUCCUAAUUGAAGUAGCGAUUAUCCAGGCUUGUAUCCUGGGGGCUGAUGAGGAGUAGGGUUUCUGGACAACUUAAACAGAUCCAGAGUUAGUCGAUCCUAAUCUCAAUAAUGGGAGAAAGGGAGUACAGUUGAUAUUCUGUAACUGACAACAGUUCGCGGCAACGCAUACUAUUUUUCUCCGCCAAUCUUAUACCGUUGGUAGGGAUCUCUUUCCUACAUGACAGUACUAAUACCCAGGGAAACUGGUCAUCAGGCGAACUGCGGCGUUCUGCUGGCAAAACAUAGCUUCGGUUAUGUCAAUGGCUAUUGGAUUGGUCCAUGAAGCGAAAAAUAGUUUACUGUGUCACUCGUACCGAUAACCGCAUCAGGUCUUCUAGGUAAGUAGCCUAUGGCCAUUGAGGCAUGAUAGUUCAGGGAAUUCGGCCAAUUAGAGCUGUAACUUCGGGAUAAAGCUUGGCUCUGAUGAAAAUCAGAACCGAUUGUUACGCGGAGAGCCCAACUGUUUAAUAAAAACGUAGUGUCGCGCUGUGGUAGUAUAGCCAGUGAACGCGACAUGAAUCCUGCUCAGUGCUGUGUCUGUUAAUAUGGUUCAAGCCAACGAAGCACCGGUAAAUAGCUGGGGUAACUAUGACUCUUAUCAAAGUAGCGAAAUACCUCGUCACUUAAUUAGUGACCUGCAUGAAACGAGCUAUGAGGUUCUCACUGUUCCAA
RNAcentral lists this non-coding RNA (1128 nucleotides) under Trichomonas vaginalis G3. RNAcentral's name for it is "Eukaryotic large subunit ribosomal RNA". It matches the Rfam family "Eukaryotic large subunit ribosomal RNA", at positions 1021 to 2347 of the family's 3401-position model. The record is from Rfam by way of RNAcentral. Lineage: Eukaryota; Parabasalia; Trichomonadida; Trichomonadidae.